CCUACGGGGGGCAGCAGUGGGGAAUAUUGGACAAAGGGGGCAACCCUGAUCCAGCCAUGCCGCGUGUGUGAAGAAGGCCCUCGGGUUGUAAAGCACUUUCAGUGAGGAAGAACGCCUGGUGGUUAAUACCCAUCAGGAAAGACAUCACUCACAGAAGAAGCACCGGCUAACUCCGUGCCAGCAGCCGCGGUAAUACGGAGGGUGCGAGCGUUAAUCGGAAUUACUGGGCGUAAAGCGCGCGUAGGUGGCUUGAUAAGCCGGUUGUGAAAGCCCCGGGCUCAACCUGGGAACGGCAUCCGGAACUGUCAAGCUAGAGUGCAGGAGAGGAAGGUAGAAUUCCCGGUGUAGCGGUGAAAUGCGUAGAGAUCGGGAGGAAUACCAGUGGCGAAGGCGGCCUUCUGGACUGACACUGACACUGAGGUGCGAAAGCGUGGGUAGCAAACAGGAUUAGAUACCCCGGUAGUC
RNAcentral lists this ribosomal RNA (465 nucleotides) under Vreelandella stevensii. RNAcentral describes it as "partial 16S ribosomal RNA". It matches the Rfam family "Bacterial small subunit ribosomal RNA", at positions 338 to 795 of the family's 1533-position model. The record is from RNAcentral. Lineage: Bacteria; Pseudomonadati; Pseudomonadota; Gammaproteobacteria; Oceanospirillales; Halomonadaceae.